Molecule: long non-coding RNA, 833 nt
Organism: Bactrocera latifrons
Lineage: Eukaryota; Metazoa; Arthropoda; Insecta; Diptera; Tephritidae
Exons: 3
Source: RefSeq, a predicted model, not a curated record
GCUUAAGCUCGUCAGCUGUUUCAUGUCAUCCGAAUUAUUUGAGGAAAACGAAACCAGCAACAUGGGCAAACAUAAAACUCAAAUGCAAGAUAACGUUUUCGUGGAAUUCAUGAAAUUGAACCAGGAUUUAGGAUGCUGGUCCACCUAUUAAGGUCAUUGCCGGUUGGAAAAAAGUAUGGCCCRAUUGGAAAAUGCAUAUUCGCAAAAAACUGGGGCACAAUAAGAAGGAAGGCAAAGCCACCGGGGGAGGUCCAUAUGAUCAGACCGUUAUUUUACCAAUUGAGGAGGAAGUUGCAAAAAUAUGUGGUCUGUUCGAAAUGGUGAAUGGGUUUUAAGGUGCCCUUACUUUUGGAGUACCGGAAGAGGACACAGAAGCAGAAAAUGUAUCACAACGCACUGAAGAGCCAAUACAAACCGAAACACCAAUUGUUGAGGAGGUAGCUGAGCCUACCCCAAAACGUCGAAAGUUAGGGCCCCAAACAUCAAAUGUGCAGUCUUUGGACGAAGUGUGUGCUGCGCAACUGGACACCAUGAAAACCAUUGCAACCAGUCUACAGAAAGUUAUAACACAUCAAGAGGAGCAUAACCGCCAACAGCUUGAGCACCACCGCAUAAUUCAAAAAAUUGAGGCAGAAAAGUUAGAAGUUCUAAAAAGGCUGAUAAAUAAUAACGUUUGAGGUUCUAAACUUUAACUUAACAUGGUUUAUGUCAUAUAUAAAUAUAACCAUAUCUAUUGUAAAAAAUGUGGCACAAACAACGAUGGGAACAUUGGAUAUUUAUUUUUGCAUCUCGCUGUAGUAUACAAAUCAAUAUUCCAAUAAAACAUUAAUAAU